UGGGGAAUCUUGCGCAAUGGGCGAAAGCCUGACGCAGCGACGCCGCGUGUGGGAUGAAGGUCUUCGGAUUGUAAACCACUGUCGCGAGGGACGAAAAUCUGACGGUACCUCGAAAGGAAGCACCGGCUAACUCUGUGCCAGCAGCCGCGGUAAUACAGAGGGUGCGAGCGUUGUCCGGAAUCACUGGGCGUAAAGGGCGCGUAGGCGGCCGGGUAAGUAGGGGGUGAAAUCUCAUGGCUCAACUGUGAGGCUGCCUUCUAGACUGCCUGGCUCGAGCAUGGUAGAGGCGAGUGGAAUUCCCGGUGUAGCGGUGGAAUGCGUAGAGAUCGGGAAGAACAUCGGUGGCGAAGGCGGCUCGCUGGGCCAUUGCUGACGCUGAUGCGCGAAAGCGUGGGGAGCAAACAGGAUUAGAUACCCCCGUAGUCC
Molecule: ribosomal RNA, 426 nt
Filed under: uncultured bacterium
Lineage: Bacteria
Description: bacterial SSU rRNA
Rfam family: Bacterial small subunit ribosomal RNA
Source: RNAcentral